UAUCUCCUGCAGCGUUCGAGAGUGUGCUGGGUGUUUCCUGAACCUGUAUUUACCCCGGGGGCGAAUUCCGUUACUGGUGUGCAUGCCCGUUUUAUACGGGAAGCCUGAUGUACCGGUUACCGUCCCCACUUGAACUUCCGGUUCAAGGACGAAAGCACAUAACGGCGCAGGC
RNAcentral lists this non-coding RNA (172 nucleotides) under Methylococcaceae bacterium. RNAcentral's name for it is "partial 6S RNA". It matches the Rfam family "6S / SsrS RNA". From Rfam's summary of the family: E. coli 6S RNA was the first non coding RNA to be sequenced, but its function was unknown until recently. It consists of 184 nucleotides that fold into an extended hairpin structure with a large single-stranded internal bulge. Lineage: Bacteria; Pseudomonadati; Pseudomonadota; Gammaproteobacteria; Methylococcales; Methylococcaceae. The record is from RNAcentral.